GAGUUUGAACCUGGCUCAGGACGAACGCUGGCGGCGCGCCUAACACAUGCAAGUCGAACGGGGUUAUAGGAACAGCUUGCUGGGAAUAUAACUUAGUGGCGGACGGGUGAGUAACACGUGAGCAACCUGCCUUUCAGAGGGGAAUAACGUUUGGAAACGAACGCUAAUACCGCAUAACAUUGGGAUAUGGCAUCAUGACCCAAUCAAAGAUUUAUCGCUGAAAGAUGGGCUCGCGCCCGAUUAGGUAGUUGGUGAGAUAAUAGCCCACCAAGCCGACGAUCGGUAGCCGGACUGAGAGGUUGAACGGCCACAUUGGGACUGAGACACGGCCCAGACUCCUACGGGAGGCAGCAGUGGGGGAUAUUGCACAAUGGGGGGAACCCUGAUGCAGCGACGCCGCGUGAGGGAAGACGGUUUUCGGAUUGUAAACCUCUGUCUUUAGGGACGAAACAAAUGUCGGUACCUAAAGAGGAAGCCACGGCUAACUACGUGCCAGCAGCCGCGGUAAUACGUAGGUGGCAAGCGUUGUCCGGAAUUACUGGGUGUAAAGGGAGCGUAGGCGGGAAUGCAAGUUGAAUGUUUAAACUAUGGGCUCAACCCAUAGUCGCGUUCAAAACUGCAUUUCUUGAGUGGAGUAGAGGCAGGCGGAAUUCCUAGUGUAGCGGUGAAAUGCGUAGAUAUUAGGAGGAACACCAGUGGUGAAGGCGGCCUGCUGGGCUCUAACUGACGCUGAG
RNAcentral lists this ribosomal RNA (734 nucleotides) under uncultured bacterium. RNAcentral's name for it is "bacterial SSU rRNA". It matches the Rfam family "Bacterial small subunit ribosomal RNA", at positions 9 to 750 of the family's 1533-position model. The record is from RNAcentral.